CAGCAGCCGCGGUAACACGGAGGGAGCUAGUGUUGUUCGGAAUUACUGGGCGUAAAGCGCACGUAGGCGGCUUUGUAAGUCAGAGGUGAAAGCCUGGAGCUCAACUCCAGAACUGCCUUUGAGACUGCAUCGCUUGAAUCCAGGAGAGGUGAGUGGAAUUCCGAGUGUAGAGGUGAAAUUCGUAGAUAUUCGGAAGAACACCAGUGGCGAAGGCGGCUCACUGGACUGGUAUUGACGCUGAGGUGCGAAAGCGUGGGGAGCAAACAGGACUAGAUACCCCUGUAGUCCCUGUCUCUUAUAC
RNAcentral lists this ribosomal RNA (301 nucleotides) under uncultured bacterium. RNAcentral's name for it is "partial 16S ribosomal RNA". It matches the Rfam family "Bacterial small subunit ribosomal RNA", at positions 509 to 807 of the family's 1533-position model. The record is from RNAcentral.